Long non-coding RNA from Sceloporus undulatus (fence lizard), 816 nucleotides. RefSeq lists it as uncharacterized. The record is from RefSeq and is a predicted model, not a curated record. The transcript is spliced from 3 exons. Lineage: Eukaryota; Metazoa; Chordata; Lepidosauria; Squamata; Phrynosomatidae.
AAAAGUUUUUGGCAUCCCUCAGGGCUUGACUGACUCACACUGAGGGAUGCAGAAAAUGUUUGGCAUCCCUCCCCUCCCCCAGCCCCUUAGGGGAGGGCAAGAGAGCUCUGCCCCAGGGCCCCCAGCCAAAGAUUUUGCAGGAAAAUCCAGCGCACUCCAGAGUGACACUGGGCAGCUGUCUACAUACGCGUCCAGCUCUGCUGCCUGGCACUGCCACCACUAGUGUGAGCGGUUCCCUCUGAGGUCACAAGGAGGUGCCAAGCCAUGGGAUUGAUCCUGGGCACCUAGUUUUCAACUUCAGAAGGAAUGAUGCAUGGCUCUUUACACAGCGUUGCUCCAGAAUGUGGAGAAUUCCAGAUGAGACUCAACUUGUUCCAACACAGAAAGAGGAAGUUUAUCACACAAAGAGUAACAACCUCAAAAAACCACUGAAACUAAUGAAUUUAAUUAGAGUCCACAGAAGCUUAUGAUAGAAAUGUCUUUCAUUUAUUCUCAAAGGUGCUACAGGAUUCCAUUAUAUACCUUUCCCCAUAACCAUGGACAAUGAACAGCACUGUUGCAACAGCUCCCUUGGCUGCCAAUCCAUUUCCAGAAACAAUUCAAAGUGCUGAUUUUUACCUAUAAAGCCCUAUAUGGUUUGGAUCCUGGUUAUUUGAAGGACCAUAUUUCCUUUUGUAAGCCUCUUCCCCUCAACCCUCCUGUGCCUUUAGCUGUCUCUGGAAAGUCAUACCUGUUGCUCCUCUUCCUCUGCCCUCCUGUCUCUCAGCAUGCCCUCCAAAAUGGCUUUGCAUGCCAGAGAGGGCACAUGUGCCACAG